AGUCGCACAGUUGCGCGGUGGCCGACAGGAAUUGUUCCCCAGUGGUAAGCCGCAAUCUAGCUGACGUGGCCCCAACCCCACAUUCCUUCCUGCCCUGCAAUGUCUGAAGAAACCCUACAGAGCAAAUUGGCGGCUGCAAAGAAAAAGAUGGGGUUUCACCAUAUUGGCCAGGCUGGGCUCGAACUCCUAACCUGAUCCACGCACCUUGGCCUCCCAGAGUGCCGGGAUUGCAGUCAUGAGCAACCACACCCACCAGGACAACAUAUUUUUUCCUCUCUCAGUGGAUCUGAUUGUCAUCAAUCUGCAAUUACAAAAGCAAUCCAGUCAAUGUAGUUAGCUUUGCACAAUACUAUUGUAUCUGUAAUUCCUUAUGUAACAGUUUUACAAUUUGUCUAGUGAAAUAAACAUCUUUAUCAUUGGAGGCUUUUUCAGAAAUGUUCCAUGAGAAAAAUGUAUUUAUUUAUAUCCUUUUAGCUACUGUUAUAACAUCAG
Molecule: long non-coding RNA, 492 nt
Filed under: Homo sapiens (human)
Lineage: Eukaryota; Metazoa; Chordata; Mammalia; Primates; Hominidae
Description: non-protein coding lnc-ZNF98-9:2
Source: RNAcentral